UCUCCCUCAUUAUCUUCUUCUUUUUUGUAAACAGAGAUGCCAAAAAUACAGGCCAGGAACCACCGCAUUAACCCAUUCUCCCCCAUUUUCCUGAGUUCCCUAUCCCUGGAUCUCUCCCUCUCUUUUAACUCUCAUUGCCCUCACCUCUCAUUUCAAACUCACUCUCUCUUUGGAUUAGUCACCACCGAGACACCACCACACAUGACAGCUUCCAUACAUACAAGACCCAGACCUUUACACCACCAUGCUACCAUCAUCACACCUUUAUCAACUUAACUCCAAGUUUGGGUUAUGAGAAUUGUCCCUUAGAGCUCAAAAGGAAUUCAGCUUUAAAAGUUAAGAUUCUGGCGACUUCAAUGAAACCCGACCAAGGGUUUAGAAGCUGCGGGGACAAAGGGAGGACUUCCCCAGAAAUUUUGGAAGCUUGGACCGUGACUAUUUAGCCCAUUUUAGAGGAUUUUUCCUGCCAUCUCGGUAAUGGUUGGUCCUCGAAAUUGGUGAAAUGCAUUGCAAGGAUCUUUGAAGCCGUAAGGCGGGUUCGACCCAACGUCAUGUUCUCACAUCAACAAGCAAGAGCCCAACUACACAUCCAAAGUGCCAAUCCCAUGGGGAGCUGUGCUGAGGUCCGAGGAGCCUUCUCCAGAAGAAUCUUUGCCCGAACACCUCCUACCCUGCCACUACGCCAAUAUGUCGCACCAACCUGGCUAUGAUGUCAUUUUCGGUGGAUAAUCAUCCCAUCUUUCUCUUUACAUAUUUUGUUGACAUUAUUCAUUUUUGUUUAUGUUUGUAUAUGCUGUUUGUACAUUUCAUCCCACCUAGCAUUUAAAUUGAUGCAGGCGGCGGAGAGGAAGUUCUGAAGUGAGGGGUUCUUUAAAUUUAACUUUUACAUUGAAGGAUGGAAGGUGCUAAGGAUUACCGCGUGCGUUUGUUUUACAAUUUUCCGAGUAUUUUUGUUUCUUUGUUUUACAAUUUUCCGAGUAUUUUUGUUUCUAAAUUUUGUUUGAUACAUGUAGCAUUGGGUUUUGAAAAAUUAAACAAAAUAAUAGAGCGAACUCAGACAAGAAUGAUGUUUAAAUAGAAAAAUUUGUUGCAGUUCUAAUUAGGUUAGGAAUGUGAUCAUGUAAAUUUUAUUAUAUCUUUGGUUAUUCUUGUGAAAUUCUAUUAUAUUUUAUACUUUAGAUAUUAUCCUAUUAAAACUGUAAUUAUAUUGGGAUAAGGAAUUUAUCUUACCUUUAGUGGCAUAAGGAAUUUACUUUUCCUACUAUUAUAAAUAAAGACACAAUAACAUGAGAAAUCAUACCUCUGAAUUCACCCAAUGCUCUUUAUGUUUGCCGCACCCUCUUUCUCCAUAAGCCCUACAAUACGCUUUUAGCACGCUCGACGUUACGCUAAAGAGAGUUUGUUCAGCUUCAAUCAUGGAAUUAUUACGUUUUAAUCAUUCUUUUAAUGAUUAACUUAUUAUUUUAUUAAAUUAAUCUACAUGAAUUUGAUUCAAUUUGAUUUAUUUUUUGUUUUGAACGUGAUACAACGCAUUGGAGAUGAAAUUUCGGCUUUUUGAGAAGGAUCUUCUACAAAUUCAAAUGCUCAAUUUGUUUUUUGCCGAUCAAGGUCUCCUAAAAUCCAUGUUUGAUAUUUUCAACGACCAUGAUGCAUCCCCUUUUACUCCCCCUCCACACCAUUGUUAAAAAAGAAGGGCAAAAACUUUGUAAAAGAUAUGGUUUCGUCCCUUACCUACAGUCACUCCGGUGUCAUUUUCUUUAAUUUCCCAAAUAAGCACAUUGAAAAUGCUCGACCAACAAAACAAUAAAGCACCUUGAAAAUGCAAAGCCACUGCAGUAUAUAAGCCAAACUAUUAGGUACGCAAAGGCACAUGUGAUGAUCUACUCUUUCUCCGAAGUCCACCAAACCAACAUCUUCAUAUAAACAGCUUAUAACCCUCAUACAUUCUCUGCUUCCUACUUUUUCAUGGUUGGCCUUCAAUACUUCUUCUUUCCCACUGACUUCCUCUACCCUCGUACUACUCCUCAGUUGAGGAACUUAGACGAAGCUACUGUUCUUCCCCUCCAAACCACCAAAACAGAUCAUGUAGCCAGCGAGCUCGAACAGCUCAAGAUUCAAUACCGUGGAGUUCAAGUAGUCAAGAUUGCAAAAUCUCCUCCUCCCAUAUGAAAGGAUUUUCCUGGUCCGAUCACCCCUUCUGUUCCACAAGGGCAGUCUUUGUGAAUGCUGAUACUGUUAGGGUCUGUGAAGCUUGUGAAGAUCAAGAUCAUGAACUUCAGGAUUGAAUUAUUUACGGGGUUUCUUUUUUUACCCCCACUAUGUAGUUACUUUGCUUGCUUGUCAUCAUAUAUGAUGUAUAACAUACUUAAUUAGUCUCGCUUUGUAACAACACCAAGAAGGUGGAUGUUAUAUGAAUUAGUAUCAUCCAGAAUAUGUGUAUGUUCAGAUUAUUGCUAUAGUGUACGAAGAUAUGUAGGGCGAUAUAUGAUCUUGUUUCUUUUA
Molecule: non-coding RNA, 2502 nt
Organism: Malus domestica (apple)
Lineage: Eukaryota; Viridiplantae; Streptophyta; Magnoliopsida; Rosales; Rosaceae
Source: RefSeq, a predicted model, not a curated record